AAUGAACGCUGGCGGCGCGCCUAAUACAUGCAAGUCGAGCGAGAAGACGUAGCAAUACGUUUGUAAAGCGGCGAACGGGUGAGGAAUACAUGGGUAACCUACCCUCGAGUGGGGAAUAACUAGCCGAAAGGUUAGCUAAUACCGCGUACGCUUCUUGGACUUCGGUUCAGGGAGGAAAGCGAUGCCGAGGGUAUCGCGCUCUUGGAUGGGCUCAUGUCCUAUCAGCUUGNGGUGAGGUAACGGCUCACCAAGGCUUCGACGGGUAGCUGGUCUGAGAGGACGAUCAGCCACACUGGCACUGCGACACGGGCCAGACUCCUACGGGAGGCAGCAGUAAGGAAUAUUGCGCAAUGGGCGAAAGCCUGACGCAGCGACGCCGCGUGGGGGA
Molecule: ribosomal RNA, 388 nt
Filed under: uncultured bacterium
Lineage: Bacteria
Description: bacterial SSU rRNA
Rfam family: Bacterial small subunit ribosomal RNA
Source: RNAcentral